Molecule: ribosomal RNA, 253 nt
Filed under: uncultured bacterium
Lineage: Bacteria
Description: partial 16S ribosomal RNA
Rfam family: Bacterial small subunit ribosomal RNA
Source: RNAcentral
UACGAAGGAGGCAAGCGCUGUUCGGAUUUACUGGGCGUACAGGGAGCGUAGGCGGUUGGGUAAGCCCUCCGUGAAAUCUCCGGGCCUAACCCGGAAAGUGCGGAGGGGACUGCUCGGCUAGAGGAUGGGAGAGGAGCGCGGAAUUCCCGGUGUAGCGGUGAAAUGCGUAGAGAUCGGGAGGAAGGCCGGGGGCGAAGGCGGCGCUCUGGAACAUUUCUGACGCUGAGGCUCGAAAGCGUGGGGAGCAAACAGG